UUAUAAUGAAAUACCAAGCACUUUUUCCUUAACCCAACAGUAACAAAAUUCACCGACCGUCACUAGAGCAAGUGGCAAAGGGCUUGGUGGUUGGUACCCGAGACCCAAGUCCGAAUCCUAGUUGAUUCACAUUUUCAGUUAAGUUUAUUUCUAAAUGAAAUAAACGAAGCGGGUAACGCGCGUGCUACCUAUCUCUCAAAAAAAAAAAAACCAUUAAAAAAAACAGUAACAAAAUUCUAC
Molecule: long non-coding RNA, 240 nt
Filed under: Ananas comosus (pineapple)
Lineage: Eukaryota; Viridiplantae; Streptophyta; Magnoliopsida; Poales; Bromeliaceae
Description: long non-coding RNA (ACOM_LNC006894)
Source: RNAcentral